Molecule: long non-coding RNA, 1408 nt
Organism: Perognathus longimembris pacificus (Pacific pocket mouse)
Lineage: Eukaryota; Metazoa; Chordata; Mammalia; Rodentia; Heteromyidae
Exons: 3
Source: RefSeq, a predicted model, not a curated record
CUCAAAUGGUAGAGUGCUAGCCUUGAGCACAGAGAGGCUCAGGGACAGAGCCCAGGCCUUGAGUUCAAGCCCAAGGACCAGCAGACAGACAGACUAGAGAUUCCAUCUUAACAGAAGAAGUUGAGCAUGGUAGCAUGCACCUGUUGCACAAAGAAAGAAGGGAAGGAGAGGAAAGAAAGAAAGAAGAAAGGAGAGGGGAGGGGAGGGGAUGGAGGGGAGGAGAAGGGAAAGGCAGCCUAGAGAUUCCAUCUUAAUAGAAGAAGCUGAGCAUGGUAGUAUGUACUUGUCAUCCUAACAAUGGUAGGAAGCAUAAAAUAAGAUCAUGAUCCAUUUGAGGCCCUGGCAGGAAUCAAGAUCUUAUCUCAAAACAACUGCCAAAAAAAAAAAAAAAAAGGACUGGCUGUGUGGUUCAGGGCUAGAGCAUCUGCCUGGCAAGGGUGACACACUGAGUUCUAACCCCAGUAUAAUCAUAGACAAACAAACUUCCAUUACUAAGAUAAAGAGAAUUAUUUCAGGCAGGCUUACGAUUGCUAGGCACACACUGACAAUACAGAAAGUACCAAAGAAAACAUUUGGCUUCUGAGAAAUGAAGCUGUGUUCUCAUAGUGAGAGCCACCAUAGCCAAAGGGACCAAUAGGGGGGCUCUCUUCCUCUGAAGGUCAAACUCCAGUUGAAGGUCCAAUUUCAGUUAAGGGUUUCAGAAAUUAGGAAAAAUAAUAAAAGCAACUUCUAAUUAUAAAACCUCUACUUUUGAUCAGGCACUGUUCUCAGCACUUAUAAACACACUGUUAUUCAAUGCCAAGUUCAUGAAGAAAGGCUUGCUCCUGGCUCUUUAUGGGUACAAGUACGACAGCUCAGAGAUGCACACCUGGUUGCAACACAAAUAUAAGGGGAAACAGAAUUUGAUAAGAGUAAUUUCUAACUCCACAGCCCAUAAUUUUUCUACUACACAAUACUGACUUUUUUUUGCUGGCACUCAACCACUUGGAGCCAUGCCUAUAGACCCACAAUGCUAAUUUAUAUGUAGUUUUGCCUAGACUCAGAGAGCAUUAAAAUAACUCUUUUGUCAAUACAAUAAACAAAAUUUUUCAUCAAUAUGUAACACUCAUUUCCUCAAGAUUAACCUCCAAGUUCAGGUUCCUGAAGAAAAGCAGAGAAAGCAAACUUUACACAGCAUACAGUCACUUCCAUUUGGAGUCCUCCACCAGUCAUACUUGUCUCAAUGAAUAUGUUGAUAAGAACAAGCCAAUAAAUAUAGGUACACAUUAAUAUUCAUAUCAUUUCACAGUCAGUGCCUUGACACCAUGCAACUCAUACUAAUAUAGAGUACAUACUACAUAUAAGGUCACAGUAUAAGUACUGUUCAAAAAUACUUAAAAGGCCUAACAUGAAACUGGAGAAGGGAAAG